GACACUUAGCUCCUUCCACCAAAGAAAAAGAAGCUCGUGACUGAACUAAUCAUCCUCAAGGAUUGUACCCACAUGCGCUAGCUUCUUUAGAAUCUAUCAAUGGCGAGUCCUGAAUCUGCUGUUGAAAACGGAACCUUCAUAAUAGACUCGUGUUUGUUCCUGCCAGUCGCCUGGAAACUACAAAUUAAGCUUCGCUGUAAAUGUUUUUCUUGGGUUGAGUUUUUUUUGGACUCUGGGACUGCAAGACUAAGAAAGAUGGCUGGCUACGAGUC
Molecule: long non-coding RNA, 272 nt
Filed under: Rattus norvegicus (Norway rat)
Lineage: Eukaryota; Metazoa; Chordata; Mammalia; Rodentia; Muridae
Description: long non-coding RNA NONRATT009622
Source: RNAcentral